RNAcentral lists this ribosomal RNA (441 nucleotides) under uncultured bacterium. RNAcentral's name for it is "partial 16S ribosomal RNA". It matches the Rfam family "Bacterial small subunit ribosomal RNA", at positions 338 to 795 of the family's 1533-position model. The record is from RNAcentral.
CCUACGGGAGGCAGCAGUGGGGGAUAUUGCACAAUGGGGGGAACCCUGAUGCAGCGACGCCGCGUGGGUGAAGGAGUGCUUCGGCAUGUAAAGCCCUAUCGGCAGGGAAGAAGCAAGACGGUACCUGACUACGAAGCCCCGGCUAACUACGUGCCAGCAGCCGCGGUAAGACGGAGGGGGCGAGCGUUAUCCGGAUUCACUGGGUGUAAAGGGAGCGUAGACGGCCAAGCAAGCCAGGGGUGAAAGCCCGGGGCCCAACCCCGGGACUGCCCUUGGAACUGCAAGGCUGGAGUGAGGGAGGGGCAGGCGGAAUUCCUGGUGUAGCAGUGAAAUGCGUAGAUAUCGGGAGGAACACCGGCGGCGAAGGCGGCCUGCUGGACAGCGACUGACGUUGAGGCUCGAAGGCGUGGGGAGCGAACAGGAUUAGAUACCCUGGUAGUC